Molecule: ribosomal RNA, 642 nt
Filed under: uncultured Basidiomycota
Lineage: Eukaryota; Fungi; Basidiomycota
Description: LSU rRNA
Rfam family: Eukaryotic large subunit ribosomal RNA
Source: RNAcentral
CCUCAAGUCAGAUGGGACUACCCGCUGAACUUAAGCAUAUCAAUAAGCGGAGGAAAAGAAACUAACAAGGAUUCCCCUAGUAACUGCGAGUGAAGCGGGAAAAGCUCAAAUUUGAAAUCUGGCUGCUUUGCAGUCCGAGUUGUAAUUUCGAGAAGUGUUACCCGUGCUGGACCGUGCAUAAGUCUUCUGGAAAGGAGCAUCAUAGAGGGUGAAAAUCCCGUCUUUGGUACGGACUCCCAGUGCAUUGUGGUAUGCUCUCAACGAGUCGAGUUGUUUGGGAAUGCAGCUCAAAAUGGGUGGUAAAUUCCAUCUAAAGCUAAAUAUUGGUGUGAGACCGAUAGCGAACAAGUACCGUGAGGGAAAGAUGAAAAGAACUUUGGAAAGAGAGUUAAACAGUACGUGAGAUUGUCAAUAGGGAAACGCUUGAAGUCAGUCGCGUUGCUCUGGGAUCAGCCUUCCUUUUGGUUGGUGUAUUUCCUGAGUGAUGGGUCAGCAUCAGUUUUGACUGCUGGAAAAAGGCUUAGGGAAUGUGGCUCCUUCGGGAGUGUUAUAGCCCUUUGUCAUAUACAGUGGUUGGGACUGAGGAACUCAGCACGCCGCAAGGCAGGUCUUCGGACACUUUCGUGCUUAGGAUGCUGGCAU